AGUGAACGCUGGCGGUAGGCCUGACACAUGCAAGUCGAACGGCAGCACAGAGGAGCUUGCUCCUUGGGUGGCGAGUGGCGGACGGGUGAGGAAUACAUCGGAAUCUACUCUGUCGUGGGGGAUAACGUAGGGAAACUUACGCUAAUACCGCAUACGACCUACGGGUGAAAGCAGGGGAUCUUCGGACCUUGCGCGAUUGAAUGAGCCGAUGUCGGAUUAGCUAGUUGGCGGGGUAAAGGCCCACCAAGGCGACGAUCCGUAGCUGGUCUGAGAGGAUGAUCAGCCACACUGGAACUGAGACACGGUCCAGACUCCUACGGGAGGCAGCAGUGGGGAAUAUUGGACAAUGGGCGCAAGCCUGAUCCAGCCAUACCGCGUGGGUGAAGAAGGCCUUCGGGUUGUAAAGCCCUUUUGUUGGGAAAGAAAUCCAUCUGGUUAAUACCCGGGUGGGAUGACGGUACCCAAAGAAUAAGCACCGGCUAACUUCGUGCCAGCAGCCGCGGUAA
Molecule: ribosomal RNA, 506 nt
Filed under: uncultured bacterium
Lineage: Bacteria
Description: partial 16S ribosomal RNA
Rfam family: Bacterial small subunit ribosomal RNA
Source: RNAcentral